GGGAAUAUUGCACAAUGGGGGAAACCUUGAUGCAGCAAUGCCGCGUGGGUGAAGAAGCACUCCGGUGCGUAAAGCCCUGUCAGCAGGGAAGAAAAUGACAGUACCUGGACAAGAAGCCCCGGCUAAUUAC
This 130-nucleotide ribosomal RNA is filed under the name uncultured bacterium. RNAcentral describes it as "partial 16S ribosomal RNA". It matches the Rfam family "Bacterial small subunit ribosomal RNA", at positions 357 to 504 of the family's 1533-position model. The record is from RNAcentral.